Long non-coding RNA from Xyrauchen texanus (razorback sucker), 294 nucleotides. RefSeq lists it as uncharacterized. The transcript is spliced from 3 exons. The record is from RefSeq and is a predicted model, not a curated record. Lineage: Eukaryota; Metazoa; Chordata; Actinopteri; Cypriniformes; Catostomidae.
CUGAACAGAUCACCACAGUGAUUUCUGGAUCUUUUCAGUGAAUCAAAUCCAUUCAUCAGUCCAGAGGUUACUGAAUUAAUCUCACUUGCUUAACUGGAAGUACAUUUUCCCAUGUCCAGACUUUGUCUCAUAUCGGAGCCUGUACGUGUCGGCGCCUCUUCCAUCAGUGCCUGGUGUUGCGCUCAGUCCAUAAUGGAGGAGACAACUGUCAGCAGACAUCAAUUGGCAACCACUGUACGUCACAGAGCCACAGAUGAAUUGGUUGAAGUCUGGCUUUAUUCUCUUUAACAAAAG